GCCGACGGGGGCGCGGUGCCUGUAGUCCCAGCUAUUCAGGAGGCUGAGGCUGGAGGAUCCUGAGUCCAGGAGUUCUGGGCUGUAGUGCGCUACGCCGAUCGGGGUCUGCACUAAUUCUCGCAUCAAUAUGGUGACCUCCCGGGAGCGGGGGACCACCAGGUUGCCUAAGGAGGGGUGAACUGGCCCAGGUUGGAAACAGAGCAGGUCAAAACUCCCGUGCUGAUCAGUAGUGGGAUCGCAGCUGUGAAGAGCCACUGCACUCCAGCCUGGGCAACAUAGCAAGACACUGUCUCU
RNAcentral lists this signal recognition particle RNA (294 nucleotides) under Aotus nancymaae (Ma's night monkey). Its description in RNAcentral is "Metazoan signal recognition particle RNA (ENSANAG00000008266.1)". It matches the Rfam family "Metazoan signal recognition particle RNA". From Rfam's summary of the family: The signal recognition particle (SRP) is a universally conserved ribonucleoprotein. It is involved in the co-translational targeting of proteins to membranes. The eukaryotic SRP consists of a 300-nucleotide 7S RNA and six proteins: SRPs 72, 68, 54, 19, 14, and 9. Lineage: Eukaryota; Metazoa; Chordata; Mammalia; Primates; Aotidae. The record is from RNAcentral.